UCGAGCUUGCUGGGCGGAUUAGUGGCGAACGGGUGAGUAAUACGUGAGUAACCUGCCCUUGACUCUGGGAUAAGCCUGGGAAACUGGGUCUAAUACUGGAUACUACCUCUUACCGCAUGGUGGGUGGUGGAAAGGGUUUUACUGGUUUUGGAUGGGCUCACGGCCUAUCAGCUUGUUGGUGGGGUAAUGGCUCACCAAGGCGACGACGGGUAGCCGGCCUGAGAGGGUGACCGGCCACACUGGGACUGAGACACGGCCCAGACUCCUACGGGAGGCAGCAGUGGGGAAUAUUGCACAAUGGGCGGAAGCCUGAUGCAGCGACGCCGCGUGAGGGAUGACGGCCUUCGGGUUGUAAACCUCUUUCAGUAGGGAAGAAGCGAGAGUGACGGUACCUGCAGAAGAAGCGCCGGCUAACUACGUGCCAGCAGCCGCGGUAAUACGUAGGGCGCAAGCGUUGUCCGGAAUUAUUGGGCGUAAAGAGCUCGUAGGCGGUUUGUCGCGUCUGCUGUGAAAGCCCGGGGCUCAACCCCGGGUCUGCAGUGGGUACGGGCAGACUAGAGUGCAGUAGGGGAGACUGGAAUUCCUGGUGUAGCGGUGAAAUGCGCAGAUAUCAGGAGGAACACCGAUGGCGAAGGCAGGUCUCUGGGCUGUUACUGACGCUGAGGAGCGAAAGCAUGGGGAGCGAACAGGAUUAGAUACCCUGGUAGUCCAUGCCGUAAACGUUGGGCACUAGGUGUGGGGGACAUUCCACGUUUU
RNAcentral lists this ribosomal RNA (756 nucleotides) under Kocuria rosea. Its description in RNAcentral is "bacterial SSU rRNA". It matches the Rfam family "Bacterial small subunit ribosomal RNA", at positions 74 to 840 of the family's 1533-position model. The record is from RNAcentral. Lineage: Bacteria; Bacillati; Actinomycetota; Actinomycetes; Micrococcales; Micrococcaceae.